UACGGGGGGUGCAAGCGUUAUUCGGAAUCAUUGGGCGUAAAGGGCGCGUAGGCGGGCUCUUAUGUCAGAUGUGAAAGCCCUCGGCCUAACCGAGGAAGUGCGCUUGAAACUGAGAGGCUUGAGUAUGGGAGAGGGGGGCGGAAUUCCUGGUGUAGAGGUGAAAUGCGUAGAUAUCAGGAGGAACACCGGUGGCGAAAGCGGCUCCCUGGAUCGAUACUGACGCUAAGACGCGAAAGCGUGGGGAGCAAACAGG
Molecule: ribosomal RNA, 253 nt
Filed under: uncultured bacterium
Lineage: Bacteria
Description: partial 16S ribosomal RNA
Rfam family: Bacterial small subunit ribosomal RNA
Source: RNAcentral